UGGACAAACAUGAAGUAAGGAUCAAAACGAAAGUAUAUAAAAUACCAGAAGACCGCGCAGCAGAAUAUCCCCUAACAAAGGAAACACACGAAUCUGUCGAGUAAAAAGGCAAUGAACAAUAAACAACACUCACUUUUCAUUUCAAUAUUUUUUUAAUCAAAGAAAAACUCAUAUUUUCUCUGUUUUGUUCUUCAAAUCUUCAUGUUGUUCUUAACAAGCCAAGAAAACACCGUCGCUCUGCCUUGCCGACUGUCACUCCUCGGCUCCUGCCACGGUUCACCGGCGACGGGAAAAAAAUAAACACUCUUUUUGAAUCCUUUUCUCCUCUCCGACCCAAAUUCGAAUUCAAAAUCUCCUAAUGAACACAAGAUCUCAGUAGAUCUAAAAAACUCGUUUUAUAUCCUUCAAGAACAGAAACUCGCCAGAGGCGUUACAAAUUUGGGGAGAUCUCUUUCAAAAGUGGACCUCAGCUUCUUUAAGGUAUAUGAAGGCCUCAUGAUCCUCUGAUAUUUUUGGCUUGAUUCGUGCUACCCUUUGACGUUGUGGUCCUUAUUUUUGGAUGAGUUUGGGUGGGGAUUUUGUACGAAGAUGGCAGAGGUUGGGGGACCAGAUCUGACAUGGCCAUCUUGCUUGACGGUGGAGCCUCUACGCGGCAUCUGAACCAUCGGAUGUCUUGGUACCGUUUGGGGAAGGCGGCGGCAACUACCCCUUUGUAUUUAGGGUUUUUUUGGAUCACCGUUAGAUUCAACAGUCAAGAUCAUUGACGGCUAGGGUUUAUGAAAUACCAAAGUAUGUGGGCUUUAGAUAGCUUGGGUUAUAUAAUGGACCUAUAAAUCAAAUUAAUAAAAGUUAGCCUUAUUUGAA
Molecule: long non-coding RNA, 864 nt
Organism: Hibiscus syriacus
Lineage: Eukaryota; Viridiplantae; Streptophyta; Magnoliopsida; Malvales; Malvaceae
Exons: 2
Source: RefSeq, a predicted model, not a curated record